GAGGGUAUAGCUCAGAGGUAGAGUGUGUGCUUAGCAUGCAUGAGGUCCUGGGUUCAAUCCCCAGUACCACCA
RNAcentral lists this transfer RNA (72 nucleotides) under Camelus bactrianus (Bactrian camel). It matches the Rfam family "tRNA". From Rfam's summary of the family: Transfer RNA (tRNA) molecules are approximately 80 nucleotides in length. RNAcentral also lists the same sequence under 1 other name. Lineage: Eukaryota; Metazoa; Chordata; Mammalia; Artiodactyla; Camelidae. The record is from Rfam by way of RNAcentral.